UUGAAUUGAAGAGUUUGAUCAUGGCUCAGAUUGAACGCUGGCGGCAGGCUUAACACAUGCAAGUCGAACGGUAACAGGGAGGAGCUUGCUUCUUUGCUGACGAGUGGCGGACGGGUGAGUAAUGCUUGGGAAUCUGGCUUAUGGAGGGGGAUAACUACGGGAAACUGUAGCUAAUACCGCGUAAUAUCUUCGGAUUAAAGGGUGGGACUUUCGGGCC
Molecule: ribosomal RNA, 217 nt
Filed under: Actinobacillus minor NM305
Lineage: Bacteria; Pseudomonadati; Pseudomonadota; Gammaproteobacteria; Pasteurellales; Pasteurellaceae
Description: partial 16S ribosomal RNA
Rfam family: Bacterial small subunit ribosomal RNA
Source: RNAcentral